RNAcentral lists this ribosomal RNA (1222 nucleotides) under metagenome. RNAcentral's name for it is "bacterial LSU rRNA". It matches the Rfam family "Bacterial large subunit ribosomal RNA", at positions 1722 to 2925 of the family's 2925-position model. The record is from RNAcentral.
AUUACACCGUAACUUCGGGAGAAGGUGUGCCUCUAGUAGGUGAAGGGCUUGCGCCUGGAGCUGAGGGAGGUUGCAGAGAAAUGGGGGUUGCGACUGUUUACCAAAAACACAGGACUCUGCGAAGUCGCAAGACGACGUAUAGGGUCUGACGCCUGCCCGGUGCUGGAAGGUUAAGGGGAGAAGUCAGCCGCAAGGCGAAGCCUCGAACCGAAGCCCCAGUAAACGGCGGCCGUAACAAUAACGGUCCUAAGGUAGCGAAAUUCCUUGUCGGGUAAGUUCCGACCUGCACGAAUGGCGUAACGACAUCCCCACUGUCUCGGCCAGCGACUCAGCGAAAUUGUAAUGGGGGUGAAGAUACCCUCUACCCGUGGCAAGACGGAAAGACCCCGUGAACCUUCACUGCAACUUGACAGUGAAGUUCGGGACAUUCUGCGUAGGAUAGGUGGGAGGCUUUGAAGUCGGGAUCCUGGUCUCGAUGGAGCCAACGUUGAAAUACCACCCUGGAUGUUCUGGACUUCUAACCUAGGCCCGUAUACCGGGUCGGGGACACUGUCUGGUGGGCAGUUUGACUGGGGCGGUCGCCUCCCAAAGCGUAACGGAGGCGCACGAAGGUUCCCUCAGCCUGAUUGGAAACCAGGCGCAGAGUGCAAAGGCAUAAGGGAGCUUGACUGUGAGACUGACAGGUCGAACAGGUGCGAAAGCAGGUCUUAGUGAUCCGGUGACUUCGUGUGAAGAGUCAUCGCUCAACGGAUAAAAGGUACUCCGGGGAUAACAGGCUGAUCACGCCUGAGAGUUCAUAUCGGCGGCGUGGUUUGGCACCUCGAUGUCGGCUCAUCGCAUCCUGGGGCUGGAGCAGGUCCCAAGGGUUUGGCUGUUCGCCAAUUAAAGCGGUACGCGAGCUGGGUUCAGAACGUCGUGAGACAGUUCGGUCCCUAUCUGCCAUGGGCGCAGGAUACUUGAAGGGAGCUAACCAUAGUACGAGAGGACCUGGUUGGACGUACCCCUAGUGUUCCGGUUGUUCUGCCAAGAGCAUAGCCGGGUAGCUAUGUACGGAACGGAUAACCGCUGAAAGCAUCUAAGCGGGAAGCCGGCCCUAAGAUGAGGUAUCCCGGGCUGCAAAGCCCCUGAAGGCCCCUCGAAGACUACGAGGCAAUAGGUGGGGUGUGGAAGCGCAGCAAUGCGCGUAGCUGACCCAUACUAAUCGGCCGUGAGGCUUGACCAA